RNAcentral lists this transfer RNA (74 nucleotides) under Candidatus Altarchaeales archaeon. RNAcentral describes it as "tRNA-Met". It matches the Rfam family "tRNA". From Rfam's summary of the family: Transfer RNA (tRNA) molecules are approximately 80 nucleotides in length. Their secondary structure includes four short double-helical elements and three loops (D, anti-codon, and T loops). The record is from RNAcentral. Lineage: Archaea; Nanobdellati; Candidatus Altarchaeota; Candidatus Altarchaeia; Candidatus Altarchaeales.
GUCCCCGUAGCUCAAUUGGUUAGAGCGUCCGGCUCAUAACCGGCAGGUUACAGGUUCGAGUCCUGUCGGGGACA